Molecule: long non-coding RNA, 3457 nt
Filed under: Malus domestica (apple)
Lineage: Eukaryota; Viridiplantae; Streptophyta; Magnoliopsida; Rosales; Rosaceae
Description: long non-coding RNA (MDOM_LNC006997)
Source: RNAcentral
CGACCAUUCACGGCAUCCUACAAACCCGCUAUCUGCAUUGUGCAAGAAACAUAUAUAGUCAUAUUUGAAGAUCGAAAUAAAAGAAAAAGGAAAAAAGGAGAAGAAGGGUCAAUGGAGUUUACUAGAAAUUUUUCUGUGUACUGCCACAUGAUGUUACUGUUUCACUCAAAUUAUAACACUUGUAUUUGUUUUCUUGUUAAUGCACUAUGGAAGUAGACAUAUAUAUCAAUUAUGUCUUCCAUCUGUACUAUAGCACGUGGAAUAUUACAUUACAUGACAACUGUUCCUGAUGCAUGUAGAAACUCCUUCUUUCUUACCUGCUACCGCAAAGACAAUGAACAUAACAAAAGCACAGAAAGGCACAUUGAUUUUGAAGUUUUAGCCAUCUUCUUCCUCAGUUUUGCAAUAAUUAGUAAUUAAAAUUACAAUUGCAAUGGCACAACUUGUUCGAGUUUUAGGGUGCUGUAUAUAUGCUUUUCUUGCGAGGGGGAAUAAGUUUGGGCUUCUGUUAUAAAGUUAGGGUUUCAAUUGAGGUCUACUUAUUCCACCGUUUGGCCAGGUAAGCAAAGCUUUGCCACAUUUAGCCUAUAAACAACAUGUACAGUUGGAUAGAAACAACAACUACACCAGAAACAUUGCUAAAAUGCACAUCUUCUCCUCUAAUCAUGCUUAUGUUAACCUAAUCUCUGUAAAUCUCAUGGUUUGUUAAUUCAAAGUUUUGUGGGUAUAAAGUCAGGGUUGGAAACGCCGGACUUUCAGGCAGGCAGGUAAGUUCGUUGGGUUAUGUAUGUACCUGGGGUAUAGCUAUAUUUCGGUUGUCUUCUUAAACUUGGAUGCCUAAAAUAUUAAACAAGUCCUCCGUAACUGUUUAUUUUAACAAAAAAAUCAUAUUUUUACACUAAAAAGUCAAUCCUGAUACUAUUCAUUUUACCCUUUAUUUUGUUUUUAUCGUUAAACCUCAAAAUUUUCAAACAUUUUUUAAUAGUGUUGAUGCACAAAACCGGAGGUCUUGGAACAACGUAAAUUCGACCGUGAAUCUGCAUGAAAUGUAAAUGACACAAGAUGUAUCGUGGUUCACCACAAGGUUUGGGCUACGUCCACACUGAUUAUGUAUUUAUCUGAGGGAGAGAGAGCUCUGAGAGUGAGAGCGUUGAGAGGGAGUGAGGAGCCUUAGGCAUUGUCUCUAGAUAUGAGAGACUUAGGGUUUGUGAGGGUGAGGAGGUCCUUUUAUAGAAUAAGGGCUCCUCCCCUAAUUACAUAUUUGCUCCUUCUUUUAUUACAUAAUUACAUUUAAGUCCCCUGAGUAUUUAUACGAGGUCUAAAUACGAGGCCCUAAAAAUGGUAUAAACAAAUAGUUUUCCUUAAAUUUAUAAAUAGAAUUCCAAAAACGACACUCAGACAAAUGAAACUGUAAAAAGAAGAUUUCAUAAAAAAUUAAAAAAAAAAAAGUAACCUUGCCAGAACUGGAACUGUUUUGUGAAUGGAUCCAGAUACCAUCUUCGAACUCUCUUUUUGUGAAUGGACCCAGAUCGAGAAGGAUUGAGAAGGCUGCAUCAUGACUCAUGAGUGAAGUCGAGAUGUGCUAUGGAAUCAUGGAUCAAUGUGUGUGUGGGGGACCAUUUGGACUGCACCAGACAGAGACAUCAUCUGUGCUUUUCGUUUUUUUGUUCGGUUUCUCCAAGGUACCAUAUCUUCUUAACCUAACCAAAGUUGUUAGCGUUAAUUUUUCCUUUUAACAAUAAAAAAACAGAAAUUAGAGUAGUAUAUAUAUUACUCUGUGGGACUUUAACACUAACUACAAAAUCACAUAGUCAUAAAUAAGUGAAUUUUUGAAAUUACAUCAACAUGCCGCAGGAUCAUGUGAUCUUUUUGUAGUAUAAAUUUUUUGCAGAAACUAGAAUAAUAUUAAUAGGAGAGAGGAGAAUCAAACUACAAUCUUGUGUGCAUGAUUAAUUGCAUUUAACUUCUUCAGCUACAAAUCUUUUACGUAUUUAAAUGGGGAUGAAAGCACAAACAAAAAAAAAAAAUGAUGUGGAAAUUUAGAAACUAACUUUUAAUGAAACUGCUUACCGGUAGUUUUCGUUUUAUUUCCAUGAGAUGGAGAGUGCAAGUGCAGUUAUUUUACUUGACUCUUUCAAAUGAUCUAGCUUUUAGCAAGAAAAUCAAGGAUCAAAUCUCACGUUCAUGACUGAAGCAUCCUCCUUUACAUUCAAUCCAAGUUCUUACUCGAUGAAGGGAAAAACAAACGAAUCACGAAAAAGUGGAAGAGAACGAAAGAACCAGUAUAUUGCUGAAGGCAGCGGUUGAGGAACUGUGGUGAUCAAGAAAGAAAUGUGAUAUCCACACAUCCUUAUUUACCCUUACACAUUAUUUUUAAUUUCGGCUGUCGGAUUAAAUGAUUUGAAUAAAAUUAAAAGACAUAAAUUAUCUUGAGUGUUUGGAAAGUAAAAAUGCGGACUUGAAUAGCAUCACCCUAAAGAAACAGUAGCUAAACAUAAAUAAAUACCUAUUAAUUUUGUUGGAAAAUAAAAGGGAAAGUAUAACCACUCAGUACUACAUUCUAGUGGUAUUCCUCUUCACUUGUAAGUGAGAGAUCAUAUGUUUGAUUCUCAUGGAUGACGAAUUCGAUAGUAAAUUAGGUUGCCCACUGUGCGACUUAGCAGAAAUCCCCCCUCCCUUAGUGUAAAUUAUAGCUUGUACUAAAAAAAAAGGAAAGUAUUUUAGGGAUACGAUUGAUUUAGUGAUUUAUAUGAUUCAAUUAGGGUUUUGAUAUGAUUUGAUUUGGUCUGGGUUUCUUUGUCUUGUAGACAAAGGAUUGUAUAUUGAUUUAUUUCCUAGUAUUGCUCUUUUGUAAUCUUGUAAAUACCUCCUUAUGGAGAAGAAUAAAGUAAUUGAAUUUGUAUUUGAGAAUUGUGAGCUUGUAGAGAAUUCUAACUUUAUCCUAAACCCUUUAUUUUCAACUAAUUUGUAAUGUGUGUUCUAGUGUUAUAGUAUUCUAGUUAAAUGUUGAGGAGUGUUAUGCAAACAUAUUUCUUAUAUAGUUCAAUGAAAUAUAUGUUAUAUAUAAACAUUUUUUUUUGUCAAACGGUAGAUUUGUUAGAUUAGAUAUUAGAUUAGGGAACCGAUCAGGUUCAAACUCAUGUUGUGAUGUAAGAGCAACACUCCUCUCCACCAAUGUGAUAGAGGAUCACUUGUUAUAUAUACUUGAAUGUUGUCACUUGAACUAAUAACUUUUGUUUUUUAUAUAAUUCUUGAGAGAUAUAUAUAUAUAUAUAGCUUGAUCAACCUCCCAAAUAAUGUUUUUCUUUGGAGACACGGUUUCGUGUAUUUGAGGAAAUGUUUCAGAGAAAUAUUCCUAAAUUCUGUUAGAGUAGUGCUACAUUUCAACAACAACAACAACAACAAAGCCUUUUCCCACUAAGUGGGGUCGGCUAUAUGAAUCCUAGAACGCCAUUGC